UUAGAUUUCUAAUAGAUGUGUUAAUUUGAAAUCAAAGAUUGCCAGGAGAUAUAAAUAAUUUCAAUAAUCUAACGUGGUAGCUGAUUUUCUUGCAAAGUAGGGGCAUCUUUCUUCGACUACUUGUAUUUGGUUUAAUAAUUUUUCCUUUAAAAUUUACAUAAAAUUAAUUUUAAUAUGUAUGAUUUAACGAUUCGUCGCCCAUAUUAUUUCUAAUAUCUUUAUCCGUUUUUUUUUUUUUUAAAUUCUUACACAUUCCUACGUAUCAUUUAAGUGCUCGAUAAUUAGUUUUUGAUACAACUCGUAGCGUAACAUCAGGAUGUAAAAUUUGAAGGAAACUAUGCAUCAGAACGAAAACAUUGAAAGCAAAGUGGUGUUAGAGAGUCGUAUACAUUAGCUGGUUGUCAUAUUAUUAAUUUUAUUUCUUAGUUAGUCAUGAUGGAGUGGAACAAAAGAUCUUCUAAACCCGCAUCAUGUUGGCGACUUAA
RNAcentral lists this long non-coding RNA (485 nucleotides) under Prunus persica (peach). RNAcentral's name for it is "long non-coding RNA (PPER_LNC007272)". Lineage: Eukaryota; Viridiplantae; Streptophyta; Magnoliopsida; Rosales; Rosaceae. The record is from RNAcentral.